This 432-nucleotide unclassified non-coding RNA is filed under the name Hevea brasiliensis (rubber tree). Lineage: Eukaryota; Viridiplantae; Streptophyta; Magnoliopsida; Malpighiales; Euphorbiaceae. The record is from RNAcentral.
CUUUGUGUCACUGGAGAUCACUCUACUCCAGUUGAAUAUGGAGACCAUAGUUUUGAACCAGUUCCAUUUGCCUUGUGCCGGUUAACAGACUUUGUGGGUGCAGUGGGUGGAGAGCCCAUUGUUGUGGCAACUUCCCUUGAGCCAUUUCCUCUUCCAACCAUUAAGGCUGGUGAAGACCUAGAUGAAGAUAAGAUGGGAAAGGAGAGAGUGAGCAAACAACUUAAAGCAUUCAGUGGUGACUCGGUUUGUGAAUUUAGCGAGAUAGCGGCAGCUUAGCGAGAUAGCAGCAGCAAGGGGAUGUCUUGGACGGUUUCCUGGAGGAGAGAUGAUGGGUGUGAUAAAGGCAUUUCUUAAAUUAAAUGCAUGAGAUGUUUUUAUAGGAACUAGGAGGGUUGGAAAAAUGGUUUUCCUAAUAAAAGAUCAUUUUGAAAC